Salvia hispanica is the source of this 374-nucleotide long non-coding RNA. RefSeq lists it as uncharacterized. Lineage: Eukaryota; Viridiplantae; Streptophyta; Magnoliopsida; Lamiales; Lamiaceae. The record is from RefSeq and is a predicted model, not a curated record.
AUCAUCUUUUUAUGAAGAAGCCGUUAUCUUAUUCCUCCUAGCAAAGAGUUUGAAAGAGAAACCAAGAAUUGUGAUCUUUUGUUUCAAUACCUUCUCUUCUGCAAGUUUGGCUUCUUCCUGAAGAUUGAGCGACGACGGGCGUGGAGGAUGUUGAGCACAAUUCAUGGAUUAUUUAUGUUUGGCUUAGUAUUGUUGGAUAUGCCGUGUCUUCAUACUCGGCAUUUUCCGUGUCUUGAACGCUUCCGCUAGGUGUCUUUUCUUUAAAAUUGUUUUUGUAUUGAGAAUCUAACUCUUUUCAAAAUUGUCUACUUUCUAGUCUUUAUUUCUUAGAAUUGGUACUUUGUUGAAAUGAUACUAUGUUGUUUUCUAAGUUA